Rosa chinensis is the source of this 1288-nucleotide long non-coding RNA. RefSeq lists it as uncharacterized. The record is from RefSeq and is a predicted model, not a curated record. The transcript has 5 exons. Lineage: Eukaryota; Viridiplantae; Streptophyta; Magnoliopsida; Rosales; Rosaceae.
UGAUCUCUGCAUGUUUAAUCUAAUAAACGUACCUUUAGGUUGCAUUGCUUGGGAAUAGUCUAGGUGUAGAGCACUUCCUGCCUAGCGUACAAAGUAAGAAAGAGUAAUAGGUUGUGUUCAAGCGUAUCGAGCCAAUCUGAGCAUCUUCAACUAAGUUAAUUGGUGAUAAAUUGGACAAAGUGUGUUGUGUGUGAUUGUUAGGGGUGGAUGCUUCCUUCCUAGCUAGUUUCAUUAUCUUGAUAUCAAUCAACUUUAAAUCUGCUUCAGUUUUGUUUUCUUUCUGUUCUCUGUUUUUCUGUAUUUUAUUUCCAUAGUAAAUCAACUCCAAAAUUCACCAAAUUUUGUGUGCUAGACUCUUUACGUGUCUAGUAUACUUCUGUAAAUUUUCGUAUUUUUAUGGGUUGUUUUAGUUAGGUUUUUAGUUUGUUUUUCAACUGCGGUUCAGUAGGAGCUGCAGUCACGUUUUGUGACUUUUGUUGAAGCCUUUAGUUUAACUUAAUCCUCUGUGGGAGACCCUUAUUUCCCUAUAUUACAAUUGCCAUAUUUGCAGGAGAAUAAGGAAAAUCAAUAGCUUCUAAGAGAGUUAUCACCCCUCACCCGGCCCAGGCCGGUAUCGUAAUCCGCGAACCCCAUCCAGAGAGGAGUGCGCCAUGCUCUAGCCGCCGUGCAAUUAGCGCUUCCUCGGCCGUCGGCCAGUCUAGAAAGUAGAAAGCGGUGCUCGCAGAGCCUGAAGCUGAAGAUUCUUCCUUUGACGACGAUGAUCCGCAGACUGUCGCAGCUGCUCUGGCUCGCAAGCACAACCGCUCGGAUCCUCGCACUGACCCAUGGGAAGAGGAUGAGCCACUCGCUGAUCGACUGGUUCGUCGCCGGUCCUCCGGACAUGCCGGGGAAGGCUCUUCGGCUGCUGGUGAAGGAACAACCGCCCGCAGGCUCAAACGCCCACAGAUUCUAGUAAUCUACCAACUCCCGCCAACACCGCGAGCGAUGUGUAUUUGGCUUCGAUUCCGGUGCAGGUCAUAGACGACAGUUCACCCGAGCGGGAAGAAGGGAUAGCCCCCCCAGAGGCACCAUCUGAGGAGCCGAUCGCUGCACAACCCUAAGCGCAGGUAGCGCUUGAUUCCAUUCCCAACGAGGCAGCUCAAGAGCCCGCACCGAUAACCGUCCCGCAAGAGCUCCCGGUCGCAGAGAGUUCUGGUCCUGCUGAGGAAGUCGCUGCUGCUGUGGAGGUACCUGCCGCUGACCCCAUUGAUCCAGUUAGCGAGGAUAUGGUGAUUCUAGAGUCUGCCCC